GUGGGAGGAAAAAGUGUGCUUCUGGAGGCUGGUGGGGGUACAGGGUGGGGAUAAUGUUGACUCCACCCCAGGACUGGGUGCAGCAAAGGCGAAGCAGUACACACCUCUCUGGCUGGUGCUUUGCUGGAUGGGUGAUAUAUCUGAAGGUCAGUGAGGAUGGGAGUUGGGAGUGGAGUUAUCAGGUGAAGUCACUCGAGCUCAGAAAGGAGGAGUGAAUUACCUGUGGCUGCAGUACUUUGGACAGCCAGAAAUCUGUCUCCCAACAGUCAGGUCAGUUGCUUUUCUCCACACCACCCUGCCUUCAUGAGAAGAAGAACUUCUGACUGAAACAGAUUCUCAAUUUCCCUGUGUUCUUGGUGGGAAAAAGAGGCCUUACUUACUCAAGGAGGAGCAGGCUGCCAGAGUGUGUGAGACCUGACUAGUGCCUUGCUGGCCUCAGCUCCGCCAUUGCAUGUUCAUCUGAACUAGGACCCAAGGGUACUUGGAGAAGGGUUUGGGUGCGGAUUUCUACAAACUGCCAAGGGCUACAGCAAUGAGAACUCUCUCAGCGGUAGACCUGCUUCAGCAUGAAGGACUGCACUUAAAGGGAUGCAUACUAUUCCAGCUCAAGCAACAGAUACUGAAGUGCAGAUCACUGUCCUUUGUUGAAAAGGAUCAGCAGUUUGUCAACAUAGGUAACACGCCAGAGCAAGCCUUGGGAUGCAACUCUGAAAACAGGUUAGGCCCUCUUUUCCCCAAGCCCUGCAAUAAAAUAC
Bos taurus (domestic cattle) is the source of this 755-nucleotide long non-coding RNA. NCBI's taxonomy places the organism in Eukaryota, Metazoa, Chordata, Mammalia, Artiodactyla, Bovidae. The record is from Ensembl.